AAGGCAUGUCCCAAUUAGUCGGACUCUCUCUACCUUUUCGUGGUAUUUAGUUCAGAAGAUUUGCUACAAUUAACUCUGACUUUCCCUUCAUUUUUCUCUUGGUUUCUGCAACUUCGGAGGAUUUGCAUGUAGAGAAAAGUUUUGUGUAAGUAUCGUUGCGACUAUCUUACUUAAUUAAGCUCUUUUUUAUAUCUUAAGAUAAUCUUCUCGUUUUCAAAUUUCAAGUCUCAGGAUAUACUUACAUGCAAAGUGAUUUUUGAAAUAUACUUUAGAAAAGUAAGGAACUGAGACUGAGUCAAGUUUCUGUAGUUGCUUACAUCUGCACGUCAACAUGUUGGAAAAAGACCAUCUCAUAAGAAUGCGUUUUUUUUUUCUUUCUAGCUUCUCCCAAAAAGGAACAGAGGAAAACCUUUUUGUUUGAGACGAAAUUAAGCUUCUACUGUUGUUGUGUUUGGCUUUUUUUUUUUUUAAAUUCUACGCAUGCAAUAUAAAACAUACUUACACAAUCAGCUAAAUUUAUAAGUUAAUUAAUUACAGGUAAUUCUUUAUGCCAAAUCUUGACUUAGUACAACCCACUCUAUUUUUUAUUUUUUACUUUUACAUUGUCGACAUACAUAAUAUAAAUUGUUUUCGUUUUUGUAUUUUUGAUAAAAAGUUGUGUAAUUUUGAGUAAAAGAGCCAUAUAUAUGCUGAUCAGUGGUAGGCGAGAUCUUGCUGCAAUAGAUGGAAUUCAUUGUUGUUAAAGCUACAUAAAUGUCCUUUAGAGCUAAUAGCUAGCUGCCAUAUCAAGAAUUUUUAUAAGCGGUAUCAUUUUUUAUAUUUAUCCCUAAUAUUUUAACUUCUUACACAUAACUAAUAAAAAUAUUCGACGAAGUGGUAUCCCGCGAUACCACAUAGUACAAGGUGUAUACGCCCUGCACAGUGGCAUGCAUAAAUUGGAGUUGAGUCGUGAUCUUUCUUUCUGGUAAAUAUUUCAGAGUGUUAUUAGAUUCUUUUCUUUUCUGUGAAGACUGAAGAAACAACAAUUCUUUAAGCAAAGCAAUUGCAGUUCAAGGUGCCAAGAGUACUGAUGAACCCUAUAAGUCUCACCUUCAAAGUUACGUGAUAUAUUCUUGGGCUGAUGGACCGCAAAUUAAGCCGUUUCCAAACGAAAAACACUUAACCUAUAAGCAAUGCAUGUUUAUAUUUGCAAAUAAUAUAACUGGAAUUGGCUUUAUUUUUAUUUUUUAAAUUAUAAGUACUACAUAGAAGGUAGGGUUGUCUUUUUGACACCAUAUUGCCAAGUUAAUUAAGCCUUUUCCGACUUUAGGCAUGGAACUCAAUGGUCCAAUUUAAUUUUUACCCCUUACUUGUGGAUACAAUAUUUUUGCUAAUGAAAACCAAGAACUGAAAUUGAAAAUUAAUUUGCCAUUGUGCACCUUUUGGAGUUCCUUUAACUGAACGAAUGCCAAUAUAAAAUAAAUUCAAAAAUAAAACAUGGAAGUAGAUAUUAUUAAUCUAAUACUACAUAAUGUAACAUUUAAACGCAUUCGAAAUAUCCACUGGUUUACAUAACCAAAGCAGUUGCUAUCAUACCAUAACAUCGAUCGAUAGCCAUGCCUGACAAAAUGAAAAUGCUUCAAUUACAUCUCAAGCAGCUAAUAAAGAUGGCUGCACAGAUAAUUCACCUAUUCUUUCAUCACCAAGCAGUUAAUUCAUGUUCCCUUAACUUAAUAUUAGUUGAAAAGGUCAUAUAUGUAGUUUUCUUAAUAGUAUUAUUAUGUACAAAUAAUACUUGAUAUUUAGUCAACAAAGAACUGUACUUCCUAUGAUCAGUAUUUACUUGUUUUAAUUAGGAGGAUUUCAGUUCAUUUCCAUAGAUCAAUCUGAGAAGAGGAGGAUGCCGUUGAAGUAUUUUCCGCAGCUGCUUCUUGCUUGUUCAAAUUUCU
This 1928-nucleotide long non-coding RNA is filed under the name Nicotiana benthamiana. RNAcentral describes it as "long non-coding RNA (NBEN_LNC031204)". The record is from RNAcentral. Lineage: Eukaryota; Viridiplantae; Streptophyta; Magnoliopsida; Solanales; Solanaceae.